Molecule: ribosomal RNA, 492 nt
Filed under: uncultured bacterium
Lineage: Bacteria
Description: partial 16S ribosomal RNA
Rfam family: Bacterial small subunit ribosomal RNA
Source: RNAcentral
GAUGAACGCUAGCUACAGGCUUAACACAUGCAAGUCGAGGGGAAACGACAUCGAAAGCUUGCUUUUGAUGGGCGUCGACCGGCGCACGGGUGAGUAACGCGUAUCCAACCUGCCCAUCACUUGGGAAUAACCUUGCGAAAGUAAGACUAAUACCCAAUGACAUCCCACGAAGACACCUGAAUGGGAUUAAGGAUUUAUCGGUGAUGGAUGGGGAUGCGUCUGAUUAGCUUGUUGGCGGGGUAACGGCCCACCAAGGCAACGAUCAGUAGGGGUUCUGAGAGGAAGGUCCCCCACAUUGGAACUGAGACACGGUCCAAACUCCUACGGGAGGCAGCAGUGAGGAAUAUUGGUCAAUGGGCGAGAGCCUGAACCAGCCAAGUAGCGUGCAGGAUGACGGCCCUAUGGGUUGUAAACUGCUUUUAUAAGGGAAUAAAGUGGGUCUCGUGAGACUUUUUGCAUGUACCUUAUGAAUAAGGACCGGCUAAUUCCGUG